RNA transcript from Bombus pyrosoma, 3529 nucleotides. It is a transcript of the gene named adenylate cyclase type 2, with no coding region annotated. The record is from RefSeq and is a predicted model, not a curated record. Lineage: Eukaryota; Metazoa; Arthropoda; Insecta; Hymenoptera; Apidae. The transcript has 20 exons.
AUAGGUUGCAGUGUAUAAUAGUUAUAUUUUUUCCUUGUGAUCCAUUUACACUUUAACACUUUCUGAUUGUACAAUUAUCGGAGCAACGCUCAAAAAACGUUUUGUGUGAUUGAUCGAUUAAAAAUUGAAAGAAGUGGGAAAUAUUGAAUAUUCAAUGACUGAGAAAAUUAAGCAGUCGAAAGAAUUAAAACACGAAACAGAAACGGAGUAUUUUACCAGUGUUAUGCCAUCAGAAGAAAAAUCAGAGAAACAUGUGGCAAAAGAAGCCGACAUUGAGGAUUUAAAACAACUGCGAAGCAAAUACGAGGGGAAAUUAACAGCCUCCCUCUAUGCUGGCACUCUCCUCGUUGCUGUCGUUGCCUUGAUUCCCGCUCUAGCAAUUCUCUGCGUUCCUAACUAUCAGGAUUUAACUAAAGCGACUGUCCCUAUAUCGACUUUGACGAUAUUAUUAUUCUCUUCAUUAAGUUUACUACUAAUAACGCAACUACCGUCCUCGUUAGCAUCCGCUAAAGCCAGACUUCUCAUUGGCUUUAUUGCGUCUGCUACUUUAGGUGUUGGAAUUAUAAUCGUACGUGCUUCGGUACCCUUGUUUAUCGCAGUUCACGCAAUGAUCGCUGUACUACCGAGAGGUAGUCGACAAACACCAACGAUUCUUGCAAUUACGUUAAUUGUUGUCCAUUUAGGCAUGCGAUUCGUGUUUCUCGAUCACUCGAACUACUAUCAAAUAGUCGAGACAUGCAGCGAGAUCGUCUUUCUGUUUGCUGCAGUUUUGUCGGGUUCGUAUUAUAGUAUCCUAACUACAAAAGCGCACAAUAGAACGUUUUCUAGAACAAAAACAGUCAUCGAAUCCAGAAUAAAGUUAGAAUGUGAAAGAGAACAACAAGAACAGUUAUUGUUGAGCGUUAUUCCGGCUUAUAUUGCAGCUGAGGUGAAAAGAAGCAUUAUGUUGAAAAUGGCAGAUGCGUGUCAAGAGGCUCGUAAACAUACGCAAACUAGAUUCCACGAAAUGUACGUGCAACGAUAUAACAAUGUUAGUAUUUUAUAUGCGGACAUUGUUAAUUUUACGCCGCUCUCAGAACAAUUGUCAGCCUCGAAUUUGGUAAAGAUAUUGAACGAACUAUUCGGAAGAUUCGAUCAAAUUGCUCAGGAAAAUCAAUGCAUGAGAAUCAAAAUCCUAGGUGACUGUUACUACUGCGUUUCAGGAUUACCCAUUUCUCGACCGAAUCAUGCGUACAAUUGCGUGACUAUGGGAUUACAAAUGAUAGAUGCUAUCAGAUUCGUUCGCGAAGCAACGGGAUUCAAUGUGGAUAUGCGAAUAGGAAUACACACCGGAAACGUGCUAUGCGGUGUACUUGGUUUACGAAAAUGGCAAUUUGACGUUUGGAGUGAUGAUGUUACACUGGCAAACCAUAUGGAGAGCGGUGGUUUACCGGGCUUUCUUUUUUCAAGGAGAGUGCAUAUAACUAAAGCUACCCUGCUUCAUCUUGGAAAUCACUUCGAAGUGGAACCUGGCAAUGGAGGGUCGCGAGAGAGCUAUCUUGCCCAGCAUAAUAUUGAAACUUUUUUGAUAGUGCCACCAAAGAAAGCCAACCAAGAAAAUCACACGGAUGAUGAGCGCGAACGCAGUGCUGUCUCCAUACCGUCCAGAUCAAGACCAAGCAGUAAAAUGACAAAAUAUGUUGAAAGUUGGGGUGCUGAUAAACCUUUCGCCAACGUUGUAGAAGCUACACUUGCCAAGAAUAUUGGCCUAACGAGCAUCGCUAUGAUUGAAUCGAAUCUUUUCGUAAAUAGUAAUUCUAAUUGUUUUCUCGAUAUAAGAAAAUGGUGUCAGAGCAACGAAGGCAUGUCAUCCUUCACUUAUCGAUUUUAUGAUCAAAACCAAGAACUUCAAUACCGCCAACAGAUUGAUGAACAAUAUCCGUGGUAUCUCCUUGCUUCAACUAUUAUUUAUGCUAUGAUCUUCGCCAUUCAAAUUAUGUAUUUACCGAGGAGCAUCACAGUUUACAGUUGUUUUCUACCUGUUCUAUCAUGUUUAUCCAUUUUUUCCAUAUUAUGUUGGUCAAAUGUUAAAACUAAAAUCGAUGGUAACAAUAUACGAAAUUGGUUAUCUUUGAACAGGGAAGUCAGAAUAACAGUAUAUUUAAUUACGGUCAUUUUAACGAUCACGUCAUGCGUUCUUAGUAUAUUGUUGAACGAUAUCGAGCAGGCAAACAAAUACGAUGUCAUCGUACCACUAUAUAUAUAUACUGCAGUGAUGUCCUUAAUCGUAGGUUGGACACAUUUACGUGUUGAUUUUUUGCUAAAAUUCUGCACAAUGUUCCUCUCUCUAACAACAAUCGUAUUUGUGUUUUCGCAAGCACCAAUCGCACGAUUGUAUAAUGCGAUCGAGGCCGUCGAACAUUAUCGCAUUCAUUAUUUAUUCACAAUUUGUUAUUUGCUUGCACUUGUAUGCCUCGUGCUGCACAUUUUGGAUAGACAAAUUGAAUAUACUUCGAGAACUGAUUUUCUAUGGCAAAAUAAAUUGAAAAUAGAACAGGAUGAAGUAGAAACUAUGAGAGGUAUUAACAAGAUUCUCCUCGAAAACAUAUUGCCUGCUCAUGUAGCAGAGCAUUUUUUAACGAACGUCAGAGCAACUCAGGAUCUUUAUCAUGAAAGAUACAGCAGUAUUGCCGUAAUGUUUGCAUCCAUUCCAAAUUAUAAGGAAUUCUAUGAUGAGACCGACAUAAAUAAACAAGGAUUGGAAUGUCUGAGGCUUCUAAAUGAAAUUAUAUGUGAUUUUGACAAAUUGUUGCUUAAACCAAAAUUUUCUGGAAUCGAAAAAAUUAAAACUAUCGGUAGCACUUAUAUGUUGGCUUCUGGUCUUAGUCCAGGGAAAGAAGAUAUUGAUGAAAAGGAACUUUCAAAACAAGAUCAUAAUAUAAUCAUUCUCGUUGAAUUUGCUCUUGCUUUGAUGACAAUCCUUGAUCAAAUCAACAAGGAAUCUUUUCAAAGAUUUAAAUUAAGAAUGGGUUUAAAUCAUGGACCUGUGAUAGCAGGGGUGAUCGGAGCACAAAAACCUCAAUACGAUAUUUGGGGAAAUACUGUAAACGUAGCAUCAAGAAUGGAUAGUUGCGGGGAAAUGGGAAAACUUCAAGUUACUGAAGAUACAGCCAAGAUUCUAAUUGCUGCUGGUUAUGAAUUGACGUGUCGAGGCCCUACUUAUGUCAAAGGAAAAGGAACUUUAAUAACAUAUUUCGUAAAAACACCAUUCGACGACAAAGAAGAAACUUAAUUUAGGAAUGUUUGACUUAGGUCAGACAAAAUCUAAAGAUGCAAAUGAAACGGAAAAUGCAAUGAAAGAAAAGAGAUAGAGGAACAGUCACUUUGUUCGUUCUAAAAGCCGAACCAAAAAAAGAUCAGAGAAAAAGAAAAAAGAAAGGAAGGAAAGAAGUAAACGAUUUUGUUCAUUCAUUUUUUAAGGACAGAUUAAUCGUAACAGUGUCCUUGAUUUCGCAAACACCAUUCAGGUUGUAAGGUCUCAGCAGAGAUU